GAGUAGAAGGACUGCUUCUACUUCGUACAUUUGCAAUUUUAUUUUAUUUUAUUUUUUUUUUCAUACAUUUGCAAUUUUAAAAAGGUAUUUCAGUAUGGACAUUUGAAGAACCAAGGAAAUGUGCCUGUUUUCAUCCUUGCCUAUCAACAUUGUGAGAGGGUUGGGCUGUUCUAUCCAACUUUAUUAUUUCCAGCUGCUGUUAUGAAUGGUUUUCGAAUGAUUUCAUGAAGAGCACAUGACUUAGGCAUUGGUGCAGCAGAGCCUUAACAGUGAAACAGUUUUGGAUUACCCAAAGAAAGAAUGGAGAAGAUGGAAUUUUUGAGGUGAUGAUGAGAGGAAAAUAUAUUUACAGCUAACCUGAGUACAGAUGAAAUCUCCAGGAACAUCUCCUUUACUAAGGAAUCCCUUAAUUUAUAGGUCUUAACUGCAAAUCAUAGGGGAUGAUAGUUUCAAGGAAGGAUACUUUUGUCAUCUUUGUCUUUAAUCCCAAGACUGGUACCUACCAUCAUUGAAUCUACCUGUUAAGAUAUUCUCAUUCACGUGUUCUUCACUCCUUGGCAGUAUGAUUGUGAUGACUGAAAAAGAACCUAUAUGCUGAAAAGGAACCUAUACCAUUGUUUCUGUCACCAAAUUAUGGGCUUCAUAAUGUACAGAGACUAUUCACAUGUGUUGCAGUGGACACUCCUUGCAGAUCAUAAAUACUGGACUGAGAAAGCUCAGUUUUGGAAAGUGCUACAAAAGGUGUUAUUGAAGAUAAUUUUAACUAGCCAUGAUGAUUCUUUUCAUUGUUGCCAUUGGACUAAAUCUCAGGAGCUGGGAUGAUGGAGACGUUAAUUGCACAGAAAAGCUCAGGAUUGUGAAAUAACAGGGGCUUUGUUUCAGUGCUUCAAUAAAUAUGAAGUGCAUAUAUUUAUAAUUUCCACCUAUCACUGGGUAAAUUUAAAACUAAUUCUUAAAAAAUUUUUUCAAUAA
Cynocephalus volans (Philippine flying lemur) is the source of this 972-nucleotide long non-coding RNA. RefSeq lists it as uncharacterized. Lineage: Eukaryota; Metazoa; Chordata; Mammalia; Dermoptera; Cynocephalidae. The transcript has 4 exons. The record is from RefSeq and is a predicted model, not a curated record.